Molecule: ribosomal RNA, 300 nt
Filed under: uncultured Lactobacillus sp.
Lineage: Bacteria; Bacillati; Bacillota; Bacilli; Lactobacillales; Lactobacillaceae
Description: bacterial SSU rRNA
Rfam family: Bacterial small subunit ribosomal RNA
Source: RNAcentral
UCGAACGACUGGCCAGCGGCCGAGUGUAUUCGUGGGGGGCUCGCGUGGUCCGGAUUUAUUGGGGGUAAAGUGCGUGUAGGCGGUCAGUUAGGUCCGCUGUGAAAACUCGAGGCUCAACCUCGAGGCGGCGGCGGAAACCAGCUGGCGAGAGUCCGGAAGAGGAGAGUGGAAUUCCUGGUGUAGCGGUGAAAUGCGCAGAUAUCAGGAAGAACACCCGUGGCGAAGGCGGCUCUCUGGGACGGUACUGACGCUGAGACGCGAAAGCGUGGGGAGCGAACAGGAUUAGAUACCCCUGUAGUC